AGCCGUGUGGUGAGCACAGAGCGAACUAUUCUUUCGCCUUUUACUAAAGAAUACCGUGUGCUCUCCAUUGAUAGCGGCAUACCUCUAUUUUUGGAGGGGUUCUCCUUUCUGCGGACCC
This 118-nucleotide small nuclear RNA is filed under the name Salix viminalis (osier). It matches the Rfam family "U5 spliceosomal RNA". Rfam says of the family: U5 RNA is a component of both types of known spliceosome. The precise function of this molecule is unknown, though it is known that the 5' loop is required for splice site selection and p220 binding, and that both the 3' stem-loop and the Sm site are important for Sm protein binding and cap methylation. Lineage: Eukaryota; Viridiplantae; Streptophyta; Magnoliopsida; Malpighiales; Salicaceae. The record is from RNAcentral.